UGAAGCCUACGGGACGCAGCAGUAGGGAAUUUUCGUCAAUGGGCGCAAGCCUGAACGAGCAAUGCCGCGUGAACGAGGAAGGUCUUCGGGUCGUAAAGUUCUGUUGAAGGGGAAAAAGAGCGGAGAGAGGAAAUGAACUCCGAUUGAUAUUACCCUUCGAGGAAGUCACGGCUAACUACGUGCCAGCAGCCGCGGUAAUACGUAGGUGGCGAGCGUUAUCCGGAAUGAUUGGGCGUAAAGGGUGCGUAGGCGGCCUGCUAAGUCUGGAGUGAAAGGUACCGGCUCAACCGGUACAGGCUCUGGAA
Molecule: ribosomal RNA, 305 nt
Filed under: uncultured bacterium
Lineage: Bacteria
Description: bacterial SSU rRNA
Rfam family: Bacterial small subunit ribosomal RNA
Source: RNAcentral